UGAGGAUCUGGCUCCAAAUUUGGAAUGAAUACUGAAACGACGAGGAUAACUGAUAAGGUCAAAUUUUAAAAUGAAAUCUGAGAUGAUGAAUACACCUGGCUAGUGUUGGCAGAACAUUAUAAUCUCAGAUUUCAUCACAAGGUUGUUCAUUUUUGAAGCUACAUGGCGACAUGAGAUAUUCAGAUUUUUAGACCUCACCAAAAUGUACUGUUAGAACACACUGUGGAUGUUGAUAUGCUGCUGGGUGCUGGCCUGCCAUCACAAGGCUAUAACCAUAUCAACGCUGACAAAGUUCUUGAGGCUAGGCUCAUCUGAGCUCAUGAUUCAUGAAGAACCUUUGUUUGCCUCCAUCGCAUGCUAAAGUGCCUGGUUAUGUAUACUGAAUAGCAUCUGGAUCCUGAGUCCUGACUGCAAGCGGCCAAAGACUGAGGAGCUAGGUAGGAACAACGGACUAAAUUCUCAUGCAGCUCAUAAGUUAAUUAUCUUGUCUCAUAAGCUUGACAAUAGUUCCUGUUUGUCAUGAAUCUUCUUUCUUCAUCACUCUUCUUAACAGUCCUUUCUUCGUAUUACUUUCAAGACAUGGUCAUUUAAGCCUACCGGUACUCUCUAUUCAACACGAUUUGAAUUUAUACAGAUUACUUAAUGGACACUAAUAUAUAUCUUUUGCCAAUGGCAGCAGGAAGAACACAUGUCUCGAAAUCUGGAAUGGCACACACUGGCUGAUGAAGAUUCUGCCAUGACCAAGACGGCGUAGCUCAGCAGCAAACCUAUGAUAGCCAAUGCUGAAAUACUGCAGUUCAUUCAGCAUCUUAGGCAAAACAGCUGCCCUCGAUAACUUUUUUUUUUUUGAUAAAGAGCAGUGCUCUCUCCAAUCCAUUAGCAGACACCACGUUGUCAUUACAGCGAGCAACACCAUCGAGAAUCUAUUGUGAAGUAAUGAUUUGUUACCAGGAAAACAAGUACUAACAAAGCUUGUGUUCUGGCUUCUAGCAAUGUUGGUUAACACUUUUAACCAUACUUGUAGAAAAGCACAAAUUAUUCUGUAGCUCGCAUGUUAUGCCAAUUGGCAAUCUUGGCAAUCAAACAUUAUAAUUUUCGAUCCAUUACAAGGGUUCUAUCAUCAGCACUAUGUUUGUGUGAACGACUUCAACUGUAUGCUGAAGGAGUUGUGCUUCUCCAUGAGCUGGCA
Molecule: long non-coding RNA, 1189 nt
Filed under: Triticum aestivum (bread wheat)
Lineage: Eukaryota; Viridiplantae; Streptophyta; Magnoliopsida; Poales; Poaceae
Description: long non-coding RNA (TAES_LNC015746)
Source: RNAcentral